RNAcentral lists this ribosomal RNA (497 nucleotides) under uncultured bacterium. RNAcentral describes it as "partial 16S ribosomal RNA". It matches the Rfam family "Bacterial small subunit ribosomal RNA", at positions 28 to 507 of the family's 1533-position model. The record is from RNAcentral.
GAUGAACGCUGGCGGCGUGCCUAAUACAUGCAAGUCGAGCGAACAGACGAGGAGCUUGCUCCUUAGACGUUAGCGGCGGACGGGUGAGUAACACGUGGAUAACCUACCUAUAAGACUGGGAUAACUUCGGGAAACCGGAGCUAAUACCGGAUAACAUGUUUAACCGCAUGGUUCAACAGUGAAAGACGGUCUUGCUGUCACGUAUAGAGGGAUCCGCGCCGCAUUAGCUGGGUGGUAAGGUAACGGCUUACCAAGGCAACGAUUCGUAGCCCACCGGGGAGGGUGGUCGCCCACACUGGAACUGGGACGCGGUCCAGACUCCUACGGGAGGCCGCAGUCGGGAAUGUUCCGCAAUGGGCGAAAGCCUGGCGGAGCAACGCCGCGUGAGUGAAGAAGGUCUUCGGAUCGUAAAACUCUGUUAUUAGGGAAGAACAAAUGUGUAAGUAACUGUGCCCGUCUUGACGGUACCUAAUCAGAAAGCCCCGGCUAACUACGUG